GGAUCAAUAUGUCGGUCGUGCUUCGGUACGUACUGGUAUCAUUGGUUUCUCCUUUCUAACGAACCAUGAUGUCAUUAAUUUGGUGUUAUGGGGAGUUAGGACUGUUACUUUGAAAAAAUUAGAGUGUUUAAAGCAGGCUCACGCUUGAAUACAUUAAUGGAAUAAUGAAAUAGGAUGUUUGAUUCUAUUUUGUUGGUUUCUAGGAUUGACGUA
RNAcentral lists this ribosomal RNA (213 nucleotides) under Campeiostachys nutans. RNAcentral describes it as "Elymus nutans partial small subunit ribosomal RNA". The record is from RNAcentral. Lineage: Eukaryota; Viridiplantae; Streptophyta; Magnoliopsida; Poales; Poaceae.